This 112-nucleotide ribosomal RNA is filed under the name Flavobacteriales bacterium. RNAcentral also lists the same sequence under 1 other name. Lineage: Bacteria; Pseudomonadati; Bacteroidota; Flavobacteriia; Flavobacteriales. The record is from RNAcentral.
UUAGGUAACUAUUGCAGUGAGGUCCACCUCUUCCCAUUCCGAACAGAGAAGUUAAGCCCACUAGCGCAGAUGGUACUGCCACACCAGGUGGGAGAGUAUGUCGUUGCCGUUU